AAUGAACGUUGGCGGCGUGGAUUAGGCAUGCGAGUCGAGCGAGAACCGUAGCAAUACGGGGACAGCGGCGAAAGGGACAGUAACGGGUAGAUUAUCUGCCCUCAGGUUUGGGAUAGCUGCGGGACACUGCAAGUAAUACCAAAUAAUAUCUCCGGAUCAAAGGUGUGAUUCCGCCUGAGGAUGAGUCUGCCUCCUAUUGUCUUGUUGUUGGGGUAACGGCAUACCAAGGCAUUGAUGGGUAGCGGGUGUGAGAGCACGACCCGCGCCAUUGGGACUGAGACACCGCCCAGACACCUACGGGUGGCUGCAGUCGAGAAUCUUCGGCAAUGGACGCAAGUCUGACCGAGCGACGCCGCGUGUGGGAUGAAGGCCUUCGGGUUGUAAACCACUGUCAGAGGGGAUGAAAUGCAGGUGGGUACUCCCAUUUGUUUGACAUAGCCUCAGAGGAAGUACGGGCUAAGUUCGUGCCAGCCGCCGCGGUAA
This 483-nucleotide ribosomal RNA is filed under the name uncultured bacterium. RNAcentral's name for it is "partial 16S ribosomal RNA". It matches the Rfam family "Bacterial small subunit ribosomal RNA", at positions 29 to 523 of the family's 1533-position model. The record is from RNAcentral.